GACGAACGCUGGCGGCGUGCUUAACACAUGCAAGUCGAGCGGUAAGGCCCUUUCGGGGGUACACGAGCGGCGAACGGGUGAGUAACACGUGGGUGACCUGCCCUCAGCUCUGGGAUAAGCCUGGGGAAACUGGGUCUAAUACUGGAUAUGACUCCACGGUGCAUGUCGUGGGGUGGAAAGCCUUGUGCGGCUGAGGAUGGGCCCGCGGCCUAUCAGCUUGUUGGUGGGGNGAUGGCCUACCAAGGCGACGACGGGUAGCCGGCCUGAGAGGGCGACCGGCCACACUGGGACUGAGACACGGCCCA
Molecule: ribosomal RNA, 305 nt
Filed under: uncultured bacterium
Lineage: Bacteria
Description: bacterial SSU rRNA
Rfam family: Bacterial small subunit ribosomal RNA
Source: RNAcentral